AACAUCGCGCACCUGCGGGAACCUGCGGAGGAUCAUUAUAGUAUAUGGAAUCUCCAUUCUAUAAACCCACUCUGCGUAUCUUGUAACUGUUGCUUCCAUGGGACUUGGUUCCGCCACACCGGCUUCACGGCUGGUGAGCGCCCAUGGAAGGAGAAACAAAACUCUUCUUUGAAAUGUAGUCAGUCUGAACAAGUUUUUAUAAACGUUAAAACUUUUAACAAUGGAUCUCAGAUCGGAAGA
Molecule: unclassified non-coding RNA, 240 nt
Filed under: soil metagenome
Description: partial contains 5.8S ribosomal RNA, internal transcribed spacer 2, and large subunit ribosomal RNA
Source: RNAcentral